AGAGAAUGGAUCUUCUCCGAGUGGGGACAUUGCUGACAAUCCCGGCUUCCCGAGGCGGCUAAGAACAGGCAGUUUGUGUCGGCUGGCUGCAGAUACCCAGAGGCACAAAGAGACCGAAGCCACCCGGAGGGACCCACGGACGGACAGAUGGUAGGCGCGAACCCGAGAGGACCGGCGGAGGCUGAGCACCGAGAGCCGCCAAGGAAGAGAAACUAACCACGGCCAAGUUACCCCGCCGGCUUUCCUUCGCUGCGCUAAGGAAUGAAACCCUUCCAGCUCGAUCUGCUCUUCGUCUGCUUCUUCCUCUUCAGUCAAGAGCUGGGCCUCCAGAAGAGAGGAUGCUGUCUGGUGCUGGGCUACAUGGCCAAGGACAAGUUUCGGAGAAUGAAUGAAGACAGAGACAGAGUUUCGCUCUUGUUGCCCAGGCUGGAAUGCAAUGGCAUGAUCUCAGCUCACUGCAAGCUCCGCCUCCCACGUUCAAGCGAUUCUCCUGCCUCAGCCUCCUGAGUAGCUGGGAUUACAGGCACCCACCACCUCACUUGGCUGAUUUUUUGUAUGUUUAGUAGAAACGGGGUUUCGCCAUGUUGGGCAGGCUGGUCUCGAACUCCUGACCUCGGGUGAUCCACCCGCCUCAGCCUCCCAAAGUGCUGGGAUUACAGGCAUGCGACUAAUAUUCUUAACGUAACCCUGUGGCUUAGGAGUAGGAGAAAUCUAGAUUCAAAUCCCGGGUGUAGUCAGGGCAGGCUUAGACCCCUAUCAUUACAGAUUCUCCAGGCCAGAAGGGACCAAAGGUCAUCUGGUUCCAUAUCCCUGCCAAGUACCAUUGUGUGUAAAGACUGUGAACACGGCGGCAUGCUCAUUUAUUCACCAACCCUGUGUCCAGUACCCGCUCUGUGCCUGGCGCUGUGCAUGUAAAAACACAGUCCCUGCCCCCAACGAUACCACUGUCUUGCGGGGAGAGACAAACACGUCAGCAACUACAGUACAAUGUCGCAGUUGCGGUAACCGGGUAUGAAUAAGUAGCUAUGGAAACAGAGAAGGAGAAUCCAAUCACACUGUAGGCCAGGAGAGGAGUGUCCAGCAUGGCUUCUGGAGAAAUGAGCCCUGUGAGAUGUUUUAUUCUAAGAGGCUGUUGCAACCUAUGCUUGAAUCCCUCCAAAGACAAGAAACUUGCAGCCUGCCGAGGCGGUGGGCAGCUCCUCAGCCAGGCUCUCCAAACACCACACCCCUUCCACCCCAGGAGGCUGCAGUUUUCGCAUUCUAGCUUUACUGAUGACGAGGGGACCCAGUGACUUGGACAGCAGCCACUGGCAAGAUCCUGGGGUCUCCACUAUGUCAACUGCACCGGGGAGGCCUCCUUUCUUCUCUCUGCUUCUUCCUUCCAUCCCCAGCCAGCCUCAAAGGCUUCAUCACAGAAUUCUUUGAGUGCUGAGACCCUCCCCCAGCCCUCUCCCCAGGGUCUGAAGAAAGCCCCAGAGAAGUUGGAAUAAACGAAGGUGCUUAAUG
RNAcentral lists this small RNA (1506 nucleotides) under Pan troglodytes (chimpanzee). RNAcentral's name for it is "processed transcript". Lineage: Eukaryota; Metazoa; Chordata; Mammalia; Primates; Hominidae. The record is from RNAcentral.